GGAUUGUGGCUCAGAGGCAGAGCGCUUGCCUAGCACAUGCAAGGCCCUGGGUUCAAUCCUCAGCACCA
RNAcentral lists this transfer RNA (68 nucleotides) under Marmota monax (woodchuck). RNAcentral's name for it is "tRNA.Ala". The record is from RNAcentral. Lineage: Eukaryota; Metazoa; Chordata; Mammalia; Rodentia; Sciuridae.